AUUGAACGCGGGCGGCAUGCCUUACACAUGCAAGUCGAACGGCAGCACGGGUGCUUGCACCUAGUGGCGAGUGGCGAACGGGUGAGUAAUACAUCGGAACAUGUCCUGUAGUGGGGGAUAGCCCGGCGAAAGCCGGAUUAAUACCGCAUACGAUCUACGGAUGAAAGCGGGGGACCUUCGGGCCUCGCGCUAUAGGGUUGGCCGAUGGCUGAUUAGCUAGUUGGUGGGGUAAAGGCCUACCAAGGCGACGAUCAGUAGCUGGUCUGAGAGGACGACCAGCCACACUGGGACUGAGACACGGCCCAGACUCCUACGGGAGGCAGCAGUGGGGAAUUUUGGACAAUGGGCGAAAGCCUGAUCCAGCAAUGCCGCGUGUGUGAAGAAGGCCUUCGGGUUGUAAAGCACUUUUGUCCGGAAAGAAAUCCUUGGCCCUAAUACGGUCGGGGGAUGAC
RNAcentral lists this ribosomal RNA (452 nucleotides) under Burkholderia cepacia. Its description in RNAcentral is "bacterial SSU rRNA". It matches the Rfam family "Bacterial small subunit ribosomal RNA", at positions 30 to 473 of the family's 1533-position model. Lineage: Bacteria; Pseudomonadati; Pseudomonadota; Betaproteobacteria; Burkholderiales; Burkholderiaceae. The record is from RNAcentral.